Molecule: ribosomal RNA, 466 nt
Filed under: uncultured bacterium
Lineage: Bacteria
Description: partial 16S ribosomal RNA
Rfam family: Bacterial small subunit ribosomal RNA
Source: RNAcentral
GAUGAACGCUGGCGGCGUGCUUAACACAUGCAAGUCGAACGGUAAAGCCCUGCUUGCUUGGUGGGCUAGAGGGGCACGCGUGUGUAACACGUGAGAAUAACGUGCUCUUGCCUGGGAGAUGCCUGCAAAACAGGGGCUAAUAUACGAGAGCAGCGCCCACCCUGCGUGGGGCGUUGGGAAGAGUUGGCGGUUUUGGAUGGACUCGCGGCGUAUCAGCUUGUUGGUGUGGUAGUGGCUCACCAAGGGGACGACGGGUAGCCGGCCUGAGAGGGUGACCGGCCACACUGGGACUGAGACACGGCCCAGACUCCUACGGGAGGCAGCAGUGGGGAAUAUUGCACAAUGGGCGGAAGCCUGAUGCAGCAACGCCGCGUGAGGGAUGACGGCCUUCGGGUUGUAAACCGCUUUCGGUUGUGACGAAGCGUGAGUGACGGUAACGGCUGAAGAAGCACCGGCUAACUACGUG